This 482-nucleotide ribosomal RNA is filed under the name uncultured bacterium. Its description in RNAcentral is "partial 16S ribosomal RNA". It matches the Rfam family "Bacterial small subunit ribosomal RNA", at positions 30 to 507 of the family's 1533-position model. The record is from RNAcentral.
AUUGAACGCUGGCAGCAUGCUUUACACAUGCAAGUCGAACGGUAACAGGCCGCAAGGUGCUGACGAGUGGCGAACGGGUGAGUAAUGCAUCGGAACGUGCCCAGUCGUGGGGGAUAACUACUCGAAAGAGUAGCUAAUACCGCAUACGAUCUAUGGAUGAAAGCGGGGGACCGUAAGGCCUCGCGCGAUUGGAGCGGCCGAUGUCAGAUUAGGUAGUUGGUGGGGUAAAGGCUCACCAAGCCAACGAUCUGUAGCUGGUCUGAGAGGACGACCAGCCACACUGGGACUGAGACACGGCCCAGACUCCUACGGGAGGCAGCAGUGGGGAAUUUUGGACAAUGGGCGCAAGCCUGUUCCAGCAAUGCCGCGUGCAGGAAGAAGGCCUUCGGGUUGUAAACUGCUUUUGUACGGAACGAAACGGCUCUGGUUAAUACCCGGGGCUAAUGACGGUACCGUAAGAAUAAGCACCGGCUAACUACGUG